UUUUUUUUUGUUUUUUAUUUUUAUGUGUUUUUUUCAGUAAUGGAUAGUUUUAAUUGUUAAGAGCCCUUUGUGACAGAGGCUAGCACUAAAGAAAAUUGCCAGGCUGAAGAGUGUGAAUUGAUCACGUUGUUGGGGGAGGGGCCCCAGGAGGCAGAACUGGAGGAGGAAGACUCUGGCUGGGAGAACAGUGAGGGUCUUUUGGUCUUGAGAAGCUGAAGAAAGAAGGCGGGGGAAAAAACACUUUCUCCUGAUGGUUACUCAACUUUUCCUGCUGAGCCAUAAAUACAGAGACCUCAGAGACCAUCUAGUACAAUUGCUUAUUUGAUGUAUGAGAAAACUGAGCUCCAUAAAGGUUAAGUCACUUGAACAAGGUCACACAGAGAUCAGAGCUCUUGGUGUGGAAUUUCCUGCCUCAGAAGAUGGCAGUAGCAAGCACAUUAUAUGAAGAAUUCCUAAAGUGGCAUGAAAGAAGAAGACACCCAUGUUCCCAGAGAGAGGAGGUUCCAUGACUUCCUAAUUAGAGGAAAUAUGUGGGGUGGUGGGAUAGUGGAGAGAGGCUCCUGCACAGCAUAAUACCAGAAUCCUAUCUUUAAGCCAGAGAAGAAGAAAUCUCCACACAGUACCAGCCUAGAAGUUUAGCUUACAAGUAUGAGUUCAAGAAUUUAGAGUUCUAGACAGAUAAAGGAUAUUCCUUAGAAAUCACUAGCCUUGGCAGUGUUUGAGGAAUCUUCCACUCUAUCAUGAGAUGAAGAAUUUCUGGAGCAACAUGACUCCUAGGGAGAGAAGAGGAUAAUGAAACAUAACCUCCCAGGGCUGAAAGAAGGAACAGCAAGGAACUAUGGUCACAGAUGGAAUGUAGACUUUGUACUUCCCCAUUAUAUGGAGUUAUUUACAUGGCGUGAAUCUGAAAGGCAGGGAGGUUUCUGUCUAGUACCCCUGAAUUUGUUGCUGUUCUGUAGAGCAUAAGCCUAGGAAUUGUGCUGAAUCUGGAGCACUUUAGUUUUCAUAAGAAGUGGGAAUCUUUGGGGGUUUCUCAUGGGUUACUCUGAGUCUUUUAUAUUCUUUUCAAAUUUGUUUUAGGGUCCCUGUAAUUCCUUUGUAUUUUAUAUUCUCUCUUUGGGGUAAAAUAAAGGCUGUCUUAUACUUGAUACUUGAAGUGUUUCCUUAAAUGCUUGUACAGGAU
Monodelphis domestica (gray short-tailed opossum) is the source of this 1183-nucleotide long non-coding RNA. RefSeq lists it as uncharacterized. NCBI's taxonomy places the organism in Eukaryota, Metazoa, Chordata, Mammalia, Didelphimorphia, Didelphidae. The record is from RefSeq and is a predicted model, not a curated record.